Beta vulgaris subsp. vulgaris (sugar beet) is the source of this 1367-nucleotide long non-coding RNA. RefSeq lists it as uncharacterized. NCBI's taxonomy places the organism in Eukaryota, Viridiplantae, Streptophyta, Magnoliopsida, Caryophyllales, Amaranthaceae. The record is from RefSeq and is a predicted model, not a curated record. The transcript is spliced from 3 exons.
AUUAUGUGAUUCUGAAAUUUUUUUAUAGAACAAAAUGCGUGACGUUUUAUAGCUGACUAUGUUUUUAAGUUUCGCGAACGAAACUUUUCUAAGGGGGUAAGUAUGUAAUAUCCUAAAAACUUAACCAAGUUUAAUGAAUUAAUUAGUUAUAAUUAAUCACUAAUUUGACUAAGAGUUAAAAUUUUCCUUCUAUUAUGUUAAACAUAAAUUACUAGACUUUGUAAAAAGAGGUAAUUCUAUCCUUUUGUUUAACCAGAAAAUAUUAGACUUAUAUUUAACUAUCACCCAACUAGGUGGUUGAAAGUUGAAACAAUGACCAUUUUCUGAUUUCAUAAAUAAUUAAAGGAAAUUUAUUAUAGAGGUUGACUCCUUUCUUCCUCCUUCUUCAUUCCUUCACUUUCAUGGCAAACACAUGGCAAACAUGCCCAACUGGCUCAGCUUUUUCUCUACCCAAGCCACUCACACCUUCAUCUAAGUCAACAUUUCACUAAACAUAUUAUUCAAUUCCAUAACUCAAUGGUUUACAUCCACAAUUUUGGUCAAAAACCACCCAACAGAGCUCAUGGUUUUUGAGCUCCAACAAUGGCUAUAAAUACACAAUCUCGUUGCUCAAACACACCACACAGAUCAACAUUACUCCAAUUAGAAUUACCUCAAAUCUAAUCAAGAAACAAAAGGGGAGAAGAAGAAAGUUAAAAAGGCCAAAAUUCGUAAAGGCUAUUUCGCACACCAACACCACCAUGGCACCACCACUACACCACGACGCUUGACCCCCAUUCAACAGUCAACACUACUCGCCCCUCCUACCACCGUCAUUCGCUGAACCACCACCGCACCAGCCACGCCAGCACCCACCCUCUCUCUCUCUCUCUUCCUCGCACUCUUCUUCUUUCUCGCUCAUCCUCGCGCCUUGCUGUACCACGCCACUGGAGGUUGCCGCGCUUAGUCGCGCCCCCACCUCACCGUUGUCGCCGGUCAUCUGCGCACGCCGGAGCUCCGUCGCGCCAGCAUCCGCGCGCUCGCGUUCUCUCUCUCUCUCUUCCUUUCGCCCUCCUCUUCGUCGCGCCUGCUGCACGCGCAGCACCACCGAGAUCCCCGCCAUCUCUUCGUCCCUCCCUUCGCCGCUUGUCGCCGCCGGAACCGUCCUCCUGCUGCAGAUUGUCAUCCCUGCUCUAAGAAGCAGAGAUAAAAGAAGAUAAAGGAUAUUACAAGCCUCCCCCGGCUAUCAUGGUUGGUAAGCAGGAAUUCAGGUAUGGGAGAACAGUUGUGGAUCUAUUAUACUGCGUUAUGGAGAUUAUGUAUGAUCUAUGAGGUUUUAGGAUAUUUUGUAUGAUGGAUAAAAAAAAGAAUAAUUUUACGAUGAGUAA